Molecule: ribosomal RNA, 1466 nt
Filed under: uncultured Bordetella sp.
Lineage: Bacteria; Pseudomonadati; Pseudomonadota; Betaproteobacteria; Burkholderiales; Alcaligenaceae
Description: partial 16S-23S ribosomal RNA intergenic spacer
Rfam family: Bacterial small subunit ribosomal RNA
Source: RNAcentral
UUCGAUCCUGGCUCAGAUUGAACGCUGGCGGGAUGCUUUACACAUGCAAGUCGAACGGCAGCACGGACUUCGGUCUGGUGGCGAGUGGCGAACGGGUGAGUAAUGUAUCGGAACGUGCCUAGUAGCCGGGGGAUAACUACGCGAAAGCGUAGCUAGCCCAUGCAUAUCGGGGGAAAGCGGGGGACCUUCCGGGCCUCGCGCACUGUGGAAACGGCGUCAUCGGUUAGCUAGUUGGUGGGGUAACGGCUCACCAAGGCGACGAUCCGUAGCUGGUUUGAGAGGACGACCAGCCACACUGGGACUGAGACACGGCAGACUCCUACAGGAGGCAGCAGUGGGGAAUUUUGGACAAUGGAAACCCUGAUCCAGCCGUCGCGUGUGCGAUGAAGGCCUUCGGAUUUGUCAAAAGCACUUUUUGGCAGGAAAAACGGCACGGGAUAAUACCCCGUGCAACUGACGGUACCUGCAGAAUAAGCACCGGCUAACUACGUGCCAGCAGCCGCGGUGUGUACGUGAUUGCAAGCGUUAAUCCAUACUGGGCGUAAAGCUGCGCAGGCGGUUCGGAAAGAAGAUGUGAAAUCCCAGAGCUUAACUUUGGAACUGCAUUUUUAACUACCGAGCUAGAGUGUGUCAGAGGGAGGUGGAAUUCCGCGUGUAGCAGUGAAAUGCGUAGAUAUGCGGAGGAACGCCGAUGGCGAAGGCAACCUCCUGGGAUAACACUGACGCUCAUGCACGAGAAAGCGUGGGAGCAAACAGAGUUAGAUACCCUGGUAGUCCACGCCUAAACGAUGUCAACUAGCUGUUGGGGCCUUCGGGCCUUGGUAGCGCAGCUAACGCGUGAAGUUGACCGCCUGGGGAGUACGGUCGCAAGAUUAAAACUCAAAGGAAUUGACGGGGACCCGCACAAGCGGUGGAUGAUGUGGAUUAAUUCGAUGCAACGCGAAAAACCUUACCUACCCUUGACAUGUCUGGAAUCCCGAAGAUUUGGGAGUGCUCGCAAGAGAACCGGAACACAGGUGCUGCGAAAAGCAUCAGCUCAGCUCGUGUCGUGAAGGCCCAGGUUAGGGUCGCAACGAGCCUUGUCAUUGGUUGCUACGAAAGGGCACUCUAAUGAGACUGCCGGUGACAAACCGGAGGAAGGUGGGGAUGACGUCAAGUCCUCAUGGCGCUAUGGUGGGGCUUCACGUCAGCCACAAUGGUCGGGACAGAGGGUCGCCAACCCGCGAGGAGCCAAUCCCGAAACCCGAUCGUAGUCCGGAUCGCAGUCUGCAGACAACUCGACUGCACGUGAAGUCGGAGAUCGCUAGUAAUCGCGGAUCAGCAUGUCGCGGUGAAUGCAUUCCCGGGUGUACUUACCGCCCAUCACACACCAUGGGAGUGGUUACUGCAGAAGUAGUUAGCCUAACAGCAAGGAGGGCGAUUACCGCGGUAGGAUUCAUGACUGGGGGUGAUCGUAACAAGGUAGC